Molecule: long non-coding RNA, 692 nt
Filed under: Gossypium raimondii (Peruvian cotton)
Lineage: Eukaryota; Viridiplantae; Streptophyta; Magnoliopsida; Malvales; Malvaceae
Description: long non-coding RNA (GRAI_LNC008950)
Source: RNAcentral
UACGUAUUAAGUCAUGAAACAUGACUUUUCUGCUUUACUUUAUGAAUGUUUAUAACGAAUAUUUUCUUUUGCCACUUCAUUUUGCUGCAAGGUGUAUGGUACAGUGGGUGAAUGAUUACUCUAUAAUCUUCCUUUUGACUGGUAAUUAUUGUAAUUUAUACCUAUAAACCUUAGAUUUAUAAUUUUUCUAGGACUUUGCUUGUUCUGAUUUCAAUAGAAUCUAAGUCAUAACUUUCAAUAAAAUCUUUCUACUUUCUACUUUUCUGCUUCAAAUUUUAUUUCGGAUUUCAUUCUCAUGUAGAAGUGUGUCACCAGGAACCUGAAGGCAUCUGCCAGUGUAAGGCUUCAUUGGCUUGAACUAGUAAACCACAACGCCCUCCUCCUUUGAAACUUUAGUUGGAGCCUCAGUUCUUUCCCGGGAUCUCACGAUAACCACUCUCCCCCUACCCUAAGCUUCUCUGUAGUAAUUAGGAACCUGAAAAUCGAAGAGUAUCUCAUGUAUGAACUUCAUAUUUACAUAGCAGUGCCUUAAGAAACAGAAAAGAAAAGCUUAAACACAUGCAUGCAUAUUACUAUAUGUACUAAUAUGCAUGAUAAGCUUUACCUUCCUGAAGGUUUAUUUUUUCUGGGGAUAAGCCCAUGUCCAUGUGUAACUAAAUGUACGACUUUCUUCUACUCUGCUGUCUUCUAAG